RNAcentral lists this ribosomal RNA (253 nucleotides) under uncultured bacterium. RNAcentral describes it as "partial 16S ribosomal RNA". It matches the Rfam family "Bacterial small subunit ribosomal RNA", at positions 524 to 776 of the family's 1533-position model. The record is from RNAcentral.
UACGUAGGGUGCGAGCGUUGUCCGGAAUUACUGGGCGUAAAGAGCUCGUAGGUGGUUUGUCGCGUUGUCCGUGAAAUUCCCUGGCUUAACUGGGGGCGUGCGGGCGAUACGGGCAGACUGGAGUACUGCAGGGGAGACUGGAAUUACUGGUGUAGCAGUGAAAUGCGUAGAGAUCAGUAGGAACACCAAUGGCGAAGGCAGCUUGCUGGCAUGUAUCUGACGCUAAGGCACGAAAGCGUGGGGAGCGAACAGG